UGGGGAAUUUUGGACAAUGGGCGAAAGCCUGAUCCAGCAAUGCCGCGUGUGUGAAGAAGGCCUUCGGGUUGUAAAGCACUUUUGUCCGGAAAGAAAUCCUUGGCUCUAAUACAGUCGGGGGAUGACGGUACCGGAAGAAUAAGCACCGGCUAACUACGUGCCAGCAGCCGCGGUAAUACGUAGGGUGCAAGCGUUAAUCGGAAUUACUGGGCGUAAAGCGUGCGCAGGCGGUUUGCUAAGACCGAUGUGAAAUCCCCGGGCUCAACCUGGGAACUGCAUUGGUGACUGGCAGGCUAGAGUAUGGCAGAGGGGGGUAGAAUUCCACGUGUAGCAGUGAAAUGCGUAGAGAUGUGGAGGAAUACCGAUGGCGAAGGCAGCCCCCUGGGCCAAUACUGACGCUCAUGCACGAAAGCGUGGGGAGCAAACAGGAUUAGAUACCCUGGUAGUCCACGCCCUAAACGAUGUCAACUAGUUGUGGGGAUUCAUUCCUUAGUAACGUAGCUAACGCGUGAAGUUGACCGCCUGGGGA
RNAcentral lists this ribosomal RNA (529 nucleotides) under uncultured bacterium. Its description in RNAcentral is "partial 16S ribosomal RNA". It matches the Rfam family "Bacterial small subunit ribosomal RNA", at positions 355 to 879 of the family's 1533-position model. The record is from RNAcentral.